This 642-nucleotide long non-coding RNA is filed under the name Mus spicilegus (steppe mouse). RNAcentral describes it as "lncRNA (ENSMSIG00000021059.1)". The record is from RNAcentral. Lineage: Eukaryota; Metazoa; Chordata; Mammalia; Rodentia; Muridae.
CUGACUUGUGUUCCAUCUGGUUCAGGGAAGUCUGAGGGUGGGGAGUUGAGGCCAGUGAAGAUGGGAUGAUCAACAUCAGGAAAAGUGUCUAUCCCAAGCAAACUGAGAAAAUAUAUUCCCAACUUUUGGCAAUAGGAGCAUAAACCUGCAGAAGACUCAGAGGUGGAAGUGCCAGUCUUCAAGAUCACAAAGUCAAGCAGAAUCCCAAUCAAGAAGUUCCUAAAUUGCUGUAUAAGCAAAACAAAGCUGGACAAGCAACCCAAACUGAACUUUGAUUUUGGAUGUCUGACUCAGUGACUGGUGGAAAUGGAGAGGCUGGGCAUGUGAUCACUCACGAUGGCCUCUGCCUGAUAGGAUCUAUCCCAAAGCCCACAGACAUGGAAGAGAAGCACAAAGGACAAGAAGUGACCCCAGGUGCCUUGCUUCCACUUUAUCCAUAUGCAUCUUCCAACAGUUAUGUAAGCAUAAAGAAAGCAUGAAGAAAAGGCGCCACUUGAUCACUCAAGAUUCAUAUACUUCCAAAACGACAUCACAAGCUUGGUGUCUGUAUCUUCACUGUGUCUAGUGUAUCUGGAUGUGCCUCCCCUUGUGUAUGCUCAGCACAGUGUUCUCUGUCUAUAAGUAAUAAAUAGUCAAUGACUA